Octodon degus (degu) is the source of this 155-nucleotide small nucleolar RNA. Lineage: Eukaryota; Metazoa; Chordata; Mammalia; Rodentia; Octodontidae. The record is from RefSeq and is a predicted model, not a curated record.
UAGCAGGCUCAGAGAUCGAAUCCCUGAAGCCACAAUUUAUAUGCAUUAAAAAAUCCUCAGGGAGCUAAGGGAACCAGGUUUACUAAAGUAAUAGUGGUGAUCGAAUGUACUAGCCUCAGAAGCUCUUGAGGUGCCCUUUCUGUCCUCACACAGUG